RNAcentral lists this ribosomal RNA (441 nucleotides) under uncultured bacterium. RNAcentral's name for it is "bacterial SSU rRNA". It matches the Rfam family "Bacterial small subunit ribosomal RNA", at positions 360 to 793 of the family's 1533-position model. The record is from RNAcentral.
AAUAUUGCACAAUGGGGGAAACCCUGAUGCAGCCAUGCCGCGUGUGUGAAGAAGGCCUUCGGGUUGUAAAGCACUUUCAGUAGGGAGGAAGGUAGUGUAGUUAACACCUGCACUAUUUGACGUUACCUACAGAAGAAGCACCGGCUAACUCCGUGCCAGCAGCCGCGGUAAUACGGAGGGUGCGAGCGUUAAUCGGAAUUACUGGGCGUAAAGCGCAUGCAGGCGGCCUGUUAAGUCAGAUGUGAAAGCCCCGGGGCUUAACCUCGGAAUUGCAUUUGAAACUGGCAGGCUAGAGUCUUGUAGAGGGGGUAGAAUUUCAGGUGUAGCGGUGAAAUGCGUAGAGAUCUGAAGGAAUACCAGUGGCGAAGGCGGCCCCCUGGACAAAGACUGACGCUCAGAUGCGAAAGCGUGGGGAGCAAACAGGAUUAGAUACCCUGGUAG